GACAGAGGCCUCGAGCGUUAGGCGGAAUCACUGGGCUUAAAGCGUGUGUAGGCGGACCUCUAAGUACCUUGUGAAAUCCCACGGCUCACCCGUGGAACCGCUGGGUAUACUGGGGGUCUUGGGCCACUCAGGGGCGACUGGAACAAGCGGUGGAGCGGUGAAAUGCGUAGAUAUCGCUUGGAACGCCGAAGGUGAAAACAGGUAGCUGGGGCUGUGCUGACGCUGAGACACGAAAGCCAGGGGAGCGAACGGG
Molecule: ribosomal RNA, 253 nt
Filed under: uncultured bacterium
Lineage: Bacteria
Description: partial 16S ribosomal RNA
Rfam family: Bacterial small subunit ribosomal RNA
Source: RNAcentral